UUCAGAGUCAGAGUGGAGUGAUGACCUGGCUCUCCAAUGGCUUCACCAGUGCUCUGCCUCAACCAACAGGCAGCCCUAACCUCAGCAGAUCCAACUCUGUAUCCAGGUCACUGCAGGAGGUACAAAGAGAGGAUGAAAGGAAUGGGGUGAUUAAGUGGAUUGCAGAGGGACUGAGCAAGGUGGUGCCUCAGCCGGAUGACAAGUACAGAGAGGAUAUUCGAGAGGAGGAGGAGGAAGAGACAGAGGUGAG
Non-coding RNA from Oncorhynchus mykiss (rainbow trout), 250 nucleotides. The record is from RefSeq and is a predicted model, not a curated record. NCBI's taxonomy places the organism in Eukaryota, Metazoa, Chordata, Actinopteri, Salmoniformes, Salmonidae.